Molecule: small RNA, 127 nt
Filed under: Marmota monax (woodchuck)
Lineage: Eukaryota; Metazoa; Chordata; Mammalia; Rodentia; Sciuridae
Source: RNAcentral
GCCGGGCGCGGUGGCCCAGGCCUGGAAUCCCAGCGGCUCGGGAGGCUGAGGCAGGAGGAUCGCGAGUUCAAAGCUAGCCUCAACUACUUAGCCAGGCCCUGAGCCACUCAGCGAGACCCUGUCUCUA